Molecule: non-coding RNA, 344 nt
Organism: Lolium perenne
Lineage: Eukaryota; Viridiplantae; Streptophyta; Magnoliopsida; Poales; Poaceae
Source: RefSeq, a predicted model, not a curated record
CCGGCAGCAUACCUCCUUUUGAGCGUAUCUCCGGCGCCAUGACAGAAGACCCUCAGUAAUCGUCCGGCUGCAAGUUAAUGCAGUGUAUUGCCUCCUUCAGAGCGCAACCCGGUGUCAGAGGUCAUCGUGACCCUCCUAGAGAGUGGUGAAGGUAUCUCAUGUCAACUUCAACAAACUACGGACUAAGCCCGUGCCCACUUUGGAUAUUGUGGUUGCGCUAGUUAAUUGUCAUGGGUGAGUACUUAGGCGCCAAAGUUUUCAUAAAACCCAACCUUUUUCAUAUCCUCAUCAUUUUUACCAAAUCCUUUCCUUUCAUAAAUUCUCACUUGGGGAAAACAUCAUGC